CAAGUCGAACGCGAAAGUGGAGCAAUCCAUGAGUAGAGUGGCAAACGGGUGAGUAACACGUGGGUGACCUGCCUUCGAGCGGGGGAUAACGUCCCGAAAGGGACGCUAAUACCGCAUGACAUCCUGUCUUUUAACAGAUGGAGAUCAAAGCCGGGGAUCGCAAGACCUGGCACUCGAAGAGGGGCCCGCGCCUGAUUAGCUAGUUGGUGAGGUAACGGCUCACCAAGGCGACGCUCAGUAUCCGGCCUGAGAGGGCGGACGGACACACUGGGACUGAGACACGGCCCAGACUCCUACGGGAGGCAGCAGUGGGGAAUUGUUCGCAAUGGGCGCAAGCCUGACGACGCAACGCCGCGUGGAGGAUGAAGAUCUUCGGGUCGUAAACUCCUUUCGAUCGAGACGAACGGCUUCCGGGUGAACAAUCUGGAAGAGUGACGGUACCGAGAGAAGAAGCCCCGGCUAACUCCGUGCCAGCAGCCGCGGUAAUACGGGGGGGGCAAGCGUUGUUCGGAAUUACUGGGCGUAAAGGGCUCGUAGGCGGCCAACUAAGUCAGACGUGAAAUCCCUCGGCUUAACCGGGGAACUGCGUCUGAUACUGGAUGGCUUGAGUUUGGGAGAGGGAUGCGGAAUUCCAGGUGUAGCGGUGAAAUGCGUAGAUAUCUGGAGGAACACCGGUGGCGAAGGCGGCAUCCUGGACCAACACUGACGCUGAGGAGCGAAAGCCAGGGGAGCAAACGGGAUUAGAUACCCCGGUAGUCCUGGCCCUAACGAUGAAUGCUUGGUGUGGCGGGUAUCGAUCCCUGCCGUGCCGAAGCUAACGCAUUAAGCAUU
RNAcentral lists this ribosomal RNA (831 nucleotides) under uncultured Bacillota bacterium. RNAcentral describes it as "bacterial SSU rRNA". It matches the Rfam family "Bacterial small subunit ribosomal RNA", at positions 58 to 868 of the family's 1533-position model. The record is from RNAcentral. Lineage: Bacteria; Bacillati; Bacillota.